GCGCCUCGUGAAUUCAUCUCCGGGGGUAGAGCACUGUUUCGGCUAGGGGGCCAUCCCGGCUUACCAACCCGAUGCAAACUGCGAAUACCGGAGAAUGUUAUCACGGGAGACACACGGCGGGUGCUAACGUCCGUCGUGAAGAGGGAAACAACCCAGACCGCCAGCUAAGGUCCCAAAGUCAUGGUUAAGUGGGAAACGAUGUGGGAAGGCCCAGACAGCCAGGAUGUUGGCUUAGAAGCAGCCAUCAUUUAAAGAAAGCGUAAUAGCUCACUGGUCGAGUCGGCCUGCGCGGAAGAUGUAACGGGGCUAAACCAUGCACCGAAGCUGCGGCAGCGACACUGUGUGUUGUUGGGUA
Molecule: ribosomal RNA, 355 nt
Filed under: Salmonella enterica
Lineage: Bacteria; Pseudomonadati; Pseudomonadota; Gammaproteobacteria; Enterobacterales; Enterobacteriaceae
Description: partial 23S ribosomal RNA
Rfam family: Bacterial large subunit ribosomal RNA
Source: RNAcentral